UACGGAGGGGGCUAGCGUUGUUCGGAAUUACUGGGCGUAAAGCGCGCGUAGGUGGUUUGUUAAGUUGAAUGUGAAAGCCCCGGGCUCAACCUGGGAACUGCAUCCAAAACUGGCAAGCUAGAGUACGGUAGAGGGUGGUGGAAUUUCCUGUGUAGCGGUGAAAUGCGUAGAUAUAGGAAGGAACACCAGUGGCGAAGGCGACCACCUGGACUGAUACUGACACUGAGGUGCGAAAGCGUGGGGAGCAAACAGG
This 253-nucleotide ribosomal RNA is filed under the name uncultured bacterium. RNAcentral describes it as "partial 16S ribosomal RNA". It matches the Rfam family "Bacterial small subunit ribosomal RNA", at positions 524 to 776 of the family's 1533-position model. The record is from RNAcentral.